AUGGCCAAUCAAAAAAGGAGAAGGAAACAGAUUGUUGUACUAGAAACCCCUUCAGGUCCUGUGGAAGACACUAAAGGUAUUUUGCAGAUAGCUGUUGAUUAUUAUAAAAAGCUGUUUGGUUUUGUUCCUACUAUUGAUAUUGAUCUCAAAGAUGAUUUUUGGGAUCAGGAUAGUUUACUUUCCACAGAGCAUUUUAAUUUACUGGAAAAGCCUUUCUCUGAGGAGGAAAUCAAGGCUGUUGUAUUUGGCUCUUAUGCUGAAGGAGCUCCAGGCCGUGAUGGAUUUCCUUUUCUUUUUUACCAGAAAUACUGGGAUUUAAUCAAACAUGAUCUUUUUGCUCUUUUUAGAGUUUGGGAGGCUGGUAAUCUAGAUCUAUAUAGACUCAACUUCUCCCUUUUGACCUUGGUCCCUAAAGAACCUAAUGCAGUUAAACUAGAUAGGUUUAGGCCUCUAGCCAUGAUCAAUUGCAGUUUUAAAAUAUUUGCUAAAUGUGCUACAAACAGAUUUGGCCCUGUUUGUAAUGUUCUUAUUUCCCCUAAUCAGACUGCUUUCCUGAAAGGGAGAUUCAUUCUGGGAAGCAUUAUAGCUGCUCAUGAGGUGGUCCAUGUAGUGGCCUCCAAUAAAAUGUCUGGUUUCUAUUUUAAAUUAGAUUAUGAAAAAGCCUAUGAUAUGAUUAGUAGAGAGUUUCUUUUGAAAAUGCUGAGGCAGAGAGGCUUUGGUCCUAUUUGGAUGUAUAAGCUUGAAUCUUUGCUCUGCAAUAUCUGUGGGUGUCAGAAUUAA
This 780-nucleotide ribosomal RNA is filed under the name Triticum aestivum (bread wheat). Its description in RNAcentral is "partial small subunit ribosomal RNA". Lineage: Eukaryota; Viridiplantae; Streptophyta; Magnoliopsida; Poales; Poaceae. The record is from RNAcentral.